RNAcentral lists this ribosomal RNA (829 nucleotides) under Lactiplantibacillus plantarum. Its description in RNAcentral is "bacterial SSU rRNA". It matches the Rfam family "Bacterial small subunit ribosomal RNA", at positions 64 to 860 of the family's 1533-position model. The record is from RNAcentral. Lineage: Bacteria; Bacillati; Bacillota; Bacilli; Lactobacillales; Lactobacillaceae.
GAACUUCUGGUAUUGAUUGGUGCUUGCAUUCAUGAUUACAUCUUGAGUGAGUGGCGAACUUGGUGAGUAACACGUGGGAAACCUUGCCCAGAAGCGGGGGAUAACACCUGGAAACAGAUGCUAAUACCGCAUAACAACUUGGACCGCAUGGUCCGAGUUUGAAAGAUGGCUUCGGCUAUCACUUUUGGAUGGUCCCGCGGCGUAUUAGCUAGAUGGUGGGGUAACGGCUCACCAUGGCAAUGAUACGUAGCCGACCUGAGAGGGUAAUCGGCCACAUUGGGACUGAGACACGGCCCAAACUCCUACGGGAGGCAGCAGUAGGGAAUCUUCCACAAUGGACGAAAGUCUGAUGGAGCAACGCCGCGUGAGUGAAGAAGGGUUUCGGCUCGUAAAACUCUGUUGUUAAAGAAGAACAUAUCUGAGAGUAACUGUUCAGGUAUUGACGGUAUUUAACCAGAAAGCCACGGCUAACUACGUGCCAGCAGCCGCGGUAAUACGUAGGUGGCAAGCGUUGUCCGGAUUUAUUGGGCGUAAAGCGAGCGCAGGCGGUUUUUUAAGUCUGAUGUGAAAGCCUUCGGCUCAACCGAAGAAGUGCAUCGGAAACUGGGAAACUUGAGUGCAGAAGAGGACAGUGGAACUCCAUGUGUAGCGGUGAAAUGCGUAGAUAUAUGGAAGAACACCAGUGGCGAAAGCGGCUGUCUGGUCUGUAACUGACGCUGAGGCUCGAAAGUAUGGGUAGCAAACAGGAUUAGAUACCCUGGUAGUCCAUACCGUAACGAUGAAUGCUAAGUGUUGGAGGGUUUCGCCCUUCAGUGCUGCAGCUACGCAU